UACGGGGGGGGCAAGCGUUGUUCGGAAUUACUGGGCGUAAAGGGCUCGUAGGUGGCCAACUAAGUCAGACGUGAAAUCCCUCGGCUUAACCGGGGAACUGCGUCUGAUACUGGAUGGCUUGAGGUUGGGAGAGGGAUGCGGAAUUCCAGGUGUAGCGGUGAAAUGCGUAGAUAUCUGGAGGAACACCGGUGGCGAAGGCGGCAGCCUGGACCAAUUCUGACACUGAGGAGCGAAAGCCAGGGGAGCAAACGGG
RNAcentral lists this ribosomal RNA (253 nucleotides) under uncultured bacterium. RNAcentral's name for it is "partial 16S ribosomal RNA". It matches the Rfam family "Bacterial small subunit ribosomal RNA", at positions 524 to 776 of the family's 1533-position model. The record is from RNAcentral.